Long non-coding RNA from Hermetia illucens (black soldier fly), 454 nucleotides. RefSeq lists it as uncharacterized. The transcript has 3 exons. Lineage: Eukaryota; Metazoa; Arthropoda; Insecta; Diptera; Stratiomyidae. The record is from RefSeq and is a predicted model, not a curated record.
AAAACUGUUACCUUACUCCGCCCACCAUUAAAUCGUUUUAUAAAACUUUGAAAUCCCGCUUUUACAAGAUUUACCAAAAAGGGAAUCGAUAUGUGGAUGACUGCGAUGCGGCGGGGCUUGUGAAAGAUGUUGAAAGAAAUUUCUCUGACAGCAGCGCUUCCCUGAAGCGUCUGAGCAAUGUCCCUACGUAGAUUCCUUUUGAAAGAUAGAAACACGAACGAAAGAGGGAGCCGCAUGGAGAUAACCGUUUUGCGAGGAAGGAUGUUAAAUAGUAAACUUGAAUUUUCAGGGAUGCGGUUGAGAUGGAAAUGGAGGACUCGUGUUGCUAUGACAGCUUAUAAUAUCAGGCUUCCAAAUGCGUGUGUCAUCAUCCUUGCCGCAACCGCAAACUUUUGAAUCAAAAUGCUCAAAACGAAUGUCUUUGAAAUCUUAUUAAAGUUCCUAACUUAAUUAA